Molecule: long non-coding RNA, 1334 nt
Filed under: Fragaria vesca (wild strawberry)
Lineage: Eukaryota; Viridiplantae; Streptophyta; Magnoliopsida; Rosales; Rosaceae
Description: long non-coding RNA (FVES_LNC004219)
Source: RNAcentral
UUCGUCGGCUAUAGUAUUUUUUAAUUUUUUUUAUAAGGUUUAGCCGACGAAUUAUGGCAUGUUUUGUCGGCUAUAGUUAUUUUUAAUUUUUUAUAAGGUUUAGCCGACGAAAUAUUUUAUAUUUCGUCGGCUAUAGUUAUUUUUUAAAAUUUUUUACAAGGUUUAGCCGACGAAAUAUACUAAAUUUCGUCGGUUAUAGUUAUUUUUUAAUUAUUUAUUACACAUUUUAGCCGACGAAUAUCUUAAUUGGUUCGUCGGCUAAAGUCUGGGAAAAAACCCGACGACAUGUUUUUCGUCGGCUAACUGUGGGACUAUAGCCAACGAAAAAAAAAAUUUCGUCGGCUAAAGUCAUCACCGACGACCCUUUCCCGACGACACUAUAGCCGACGAAGGCUCGUCGGCUAAGAUCUUAGCCGACGAAUUAAGAUAACAGGCCGACGAAAAUUUUUCGUCGGCUAAAGUGCUUGUCCUGGUAGUGAUGUGUAGCCGUAUUAUGAAAUCUAACAUUGUAUCAUGACAUUCUCUUCAGAAGAACUAUGUCACUUGGAUAUAUGUGCAUCCCACAAAUCAAAUGGGGUCUAUAUUGUUUUAGAAAAUGACAUCCCACUACCAUAGACAGUUGUAAAACACAGAAAAACCAACAUUCAACAGAUUUAAACAAAUAAGGACAUAAGCCCAAGCCCACAAUGCAUAGUCUCACGCCUUGUCAGCAAUUUUUACGUAAAAUACCUAAAAACCAAUCUUUUCUAAAAAACUACAAAAUUGCCACUGCCUUAACACCAAAAAUAUACUCUCUCUCCGAUCUAUCAUACUCUCUCUCUCUCUCUGCACACCACACAACGCCGAUCGAAUCCGCCGUAAUUGCAAGAUCGACCUCGCCGAUCGUCUCCGCCACCUGCACCUCGCCGAUCGACUCCGUCGCUGCUAGAUCGACUUCGCCGCUCGAUCGACUCCGCCUGCUAGAUAUCUGUUGCAUGCUAGAUCGACCCCGCAUUUAUAGCUAAACACACAAGAUCGAAACCGAAGCACCACAAUUACAGUUCCACAAGCUCCGACUGAGCUGCCCAGCUAUAAAGUCCCACACCGAAAGUGCAGAUUUGCAUUUGCAUCCGAAACGGUGUCGAGUUGGAUACAAAAAUUAUGGUUUCAAAAGAGAGUUGCAGACUCACAGUGACGCUGCACGGCGGGGAAUGAAGCUUGGAGCUGAUCUUCUGAGUCCGGCGCCGACCGAAGCGGUGGGGAUUCGAAUCGGAGAGAGAGAGAGAGAGAGAGAGAGAGAGAGAGAGAGAGAGAGAGAGAGAGAGAGAGAGAGAGAGAGAGAGAGAGAGAGAGAG